GGAGCAAGCUUGCUUUUCAAGACGAAACUUUUCUUGAGUUUGAGUUUUUAAGGGACAUGCGCGAAGCAAUGUCCAAGGGGAGAUCUUUUCCCAAGUUCGCUACGCUCAAAGAUGUGUAAUCAUCGAUCAAUAUCGAAUGGGAAAAACUUGGCAUUCUGCCUCUACCUCUGCGAUAGCAUUCACGGGUGUUUUCAUGCUAAUUAAUCUCAUGGAAAUGUGUUUCUCGAUAAUUCAUUUUCCUAUCGAAGCGUAGGCGUUGCGAUAAUUUGCACGAACUUUCCACGGCAUCUGUUGUCCCUCAUGCUUACAAGACAAUUAAGUCUGGCGGCUUCCUUCUAACGAAACUUUCCAAAGAAGCUGUGAUGCUGUUAGUUAUUUACCAAUGAAUCUAAACCUUGUGCACACGAUUUAGAGAAGUUCGCUUUAAUCUUUAUGGAAUUUUUGGAGCGUUGGGUCGGUAUGUUAUGUUUUUAACUGAACGUGGAAUUUCCAAACGUGGAUUACGUACAAAAUUGUAUACCAAGCUGUGGAUAUAAUCUUACUUAGUUGGAUUGCACUGUUGUUUGAAUACGAAGAGGAGAGUGACUCGACAAAACCACAAGACUCAACUAUGUAGCACAAUUUCUUUCAUGGCAACGGUGAAUUAUUGCAGACUCAUGUGUAAAGUUGCAGACACAUUUUAUUCACAAGUCGCGGGAAGAACAGGCUGUCAAGAUUUGAUCUUUCGUCAUUUUCUUUUAUGGAUGUCUCUCCAGCGAUAAAACUGCCGUGGGACCUUCCAAUAUGACGGUGAGAAAUUGAAUCCUUCCAGGGUCAGUCGGUUGUUGUUGAGCUUGGUGUAUUGAGCAUUGGACUUGCAAUCAACGAUUACUGUAUGUGGCAUGGCAAAGAAGUCAGCAAUGUAAGGAUAGAUUAUAAAACACACUAUUAUACAAAUGUCAUUUUUAUUGUUGGUUUUUCGACAGUGGAAUGCGUCACUUGGUAUAUUUUCAGAAAAAUAUCGCAUAAGAAAAACGAAUACAGAUCUGUUGCAUAACUAAGUCUUUUGAUCAAAUUUUUCUGACUCACCAAUGGGAGUAAUUUAUUAAUAGUCAGGAAACAGAGAGCAAACCAAACGCCCUUUCACACCCCUUCCUAAUAUCAACCGUACACUCAAUCCUCAAUCUACAACCCGAACUGACGACGACACCAGUACGAACCAAGGACCUCGUGCAUUGGAGAACAGACAGAGCCUGUUGAGUCAGAAGCUCAACAGCGAAUACUAAUAGUUUUCUGGCAUAUUUGUACCCUUUUUUUUCAACUUUUUAGUAGAAAUAUACAAAGUAGACUUGAACCUAAGAAGGUGCAAUUACAUUAGCCAUGACUUUACCUUAGAUAUUUACGUAUUAGUGAACUCUAAAAAGACAAAGAGAACAAAGCAGUCUUGAACCAGAACAGCAGUGAUCUCAAACCGUCAACUUACCCACUCAACCAAGCGAGAGAGAUGUGGAGCAUGUGGAAACAUAUCAAGUGCUACAACAGAACAACAUUUGUUGCCUUUCAAUGCAUAAGACUUUAAGUUAUAAGAUGUUUGGCAAAUGCUUUUACCUCAUCAUUAAAUAAAUAGAACUAUAUAAAGAAAAUUGUCUUGCUACAAGUCAAGCGAUAGCAAUCGAAGCAAUAUAAGUAUAAUGAUAAAGAAAGAAGAAGAAUAAAGUAUACAUGUCAUGCAUUGCCAUGUGGUGAAUCACGUGCAUGUCUUUUGUAAUUUUUUUGAUUUAAUGUCGACGGGAUUAUUUAACUUUACGUUUGAUGACAAAUAUAUUUUUAAUCAUUAUA
Long non-coding RNA from Xenia sp. Carnegie-2017, 1818 nucleotides. RefSeq lists it as uncharacterized. The record is from RefSeq and is a predicted model, not a curated record. NCBI's taxonomy places the organism in Eukaryota, Metazoa, Cnidaria, Anthozoa, Malacalcyonacea, Xeniidae. The transcript has 3 exons.